RNAcentral lists this ribosomal RNA (253 nucleotides) under uncultured bacterium. Its description in RNAcentral is "partial 16S ribosomal RNA". It matches the Rfam family "Bacterial small subunit ribosomal RNA", at positions 524 to 776 of the family's 1533-position model. The record is from RNAcentral.
UACGGGGGGGGCAAGCGUUGUUCGGAAUUACUGGGUGUAAAGGGCUCGUAGGCGGCCAACUAAGUCAGACGUGAAAUCCCUCGGCUUAACCGGGGAAUGGCGUCUGAUACUGGAUGGCUUGAAUCCGGGAGAGGGAUGCGGAAUUCCAGGUGUAGCGGUGAAAUGCGUAGAUAUCUGGAGGAACACCGGUGGCGAAGGCGGCAUCCUGGACCGGCAUUGACGCUGAGGAGCGAAAGCCAGGGGAGCAAACGGG